RNAcentral lists this ribosomal RNA (253 nucleotides) under uncultured bacterium. Its description in RNAcentral is "partial 16S ribosomal RNA". It matches the Rfam family "Bacterial small subunit ribosomal RNA", at positions 524 to 776 of the family's 1533-position model. The record is from RNAcentral.
UACGGAGGGUGCAAGCGUUAUCCGGAUUUACUGGGUUUAAAGGGUGUGUAGGCGGACUUUUAAGUCCGUGGUGAAAUCUCCGGGCUCAACCCGGAAACUGCCAUGGAUACUAUUGGUCUUGAAUGUUGUUGAGGUGGGCGGAACGGGUCAUGUAGCGGUGAAAUGCUUAGAUAUGACACAGAACACCGAUUGCGAAGGCAGCUUACUAAGUCGUAACUGACGCUGAUGCACGAAAGCGUGGGGAGCAAACAGG